Bos taurus (domestic cattle) is the source of this 498-nucleotide long non-coding RNA. NCBI's taxonomy places the organism in Eukaryota, Metazoa, Chordata, Mammalia, Artiodactyla, Bovidae. The record is from Ensembl.
AUUUCCCUUUCUCUUUCUUCCUGCCUAUAUUGCCAAGAGAAGUAGCUCUUCAGUCACCAGGAAGAGAGUGACACUUAAGUUGUGUCCAUGCCUUGGCUAUUGUGAAUAAUGCUGCAUGAAGAGGACUGUGCAGAUAUUUUUUACAAGAUACUGAUUUCGUUUCAUUCACAUAUAGACCUAGAUGUGAGAUUCCUGGGUCAUAUGCCAUUCUGCAAGAUGUAAGGUGACAUCUCACUGCGAUUUUGAUUAGCAUUUCCGCAGCCAUGAAAUUAAAAGACGCUUACUCCUUGGAAGGAAAGUUAUGACCAAACUAGAUAGCAUAUUCAAAAGCAGAGACAUUACUUUGCCAACAGAGGUUCGUCUAGUCAAGGCUAUGGUUUUUCCUGUGGUCAUGUAUGGAUGUGAGAGUUGGACUGUGAAGAAGGUGAGCGCCAAAGAAUUGAUGCUUUUGAACUGUGGUGUUGGAGAAGACUCUUGAGAGUCCCUUGGACUGCAAGG